GACGAACGCUGGCGGCGUGCUUAACACAUGCAAGUCGAACGGAAAGGCCCUGCUUUUGUGGGGUGCUCGAGUGGCGAACGGGUGAGUAACACGUGAGUAACCUGCCCUUGACUUUGGGAUAACUUCAGGAAACUGGGGCUAAUACCGGAUAGGAGCUCCUGCUGCAUGGUGGGGGUUGGAAUGUUUCGGCGGUUGGGGAUGGACUCGCGGCUUAUCAGCUUGUUGGUGGGGUAGUGGCUUACCAAGGCUUUGACGGGUAGCCGGCCUGAGAGGGUGAGCGGCCACAUUAGGACGGAGAUACGGCCCAGACUCCUACGGGAGGCAGCAGUGGGGAAUAUUGCACGAGGGGCGGAAGCCUGAUGCAGCAACGCCGCGUGCGGGAUGACGGCCUGCGGGUUGUAAACCGCUUUCGCCUGUGACGAAGCGUGAGUGACGGUAAUGGGUAAAGAAGCACCGGCUAACUACGUG
RNAcentral lists this ribosomal RNA (468 nucleotides) under uncultured bacterium. RNAcentral describes it as "partial 16S ribosomal RNA". It matches the Rfam family "Bacterial small subunit ribosomal RNA", at positions 28 to 507 of the family's 1533-position model. The record is from RNAcentral.